ACAAGGGUAUCCACCCGUGGCCUUGGCCGUGACCGUGAGUGAUAUUCAGCGCCCAGAGCCACCGGGGGUCUCAGCUCACUGUCCUCACGAUGUGAGGAGGUGAAACACAGGUUCUGACACGC
RNAcentral lists this small nucleolar RNA (122 nucleotides) under Myotis davidii. Its description in RNAcentral is "Small nucleolar RNA ACA64". It matches the Rfam family "Small nucleolar RNA ACA64". Lineage: Eukaryota; Metazoa; Chordata; Mammalia; Chiroptera; Vespertilionidae. The record is from Rfam by way of RNAcentral.